Molecule: ribosomal RNA, 506 nt
Filed under: uncultured bacterium
Lineage: Bacteria
Description: partial 16S ribosomal RNA
Rfam family: Bacterial small subunit ribosomal RNA
Source: RNAcentral
AGUGAACGCUGGCGGUAGGCCUAACACAUGCAAGUCGAACGGCAGCACAGAGGAGCUUGCUCCUUGGGUGGCGAGUGGCGGACGGGUGAGGAAUACAUCGGAAUCUACUCUGUCGUGGGGGAUAACGUAGGGAAACUUACGCUAAUACCGCAUACGACCUACGGGUGAAAGCAGGGGAUCUUCGGACCUUGCGCGAUUGAAUGAGCCGAUGUAGGAUUAGCUAGUUGGCGGGGUAAAGGCCCACCAAGGCGACGAUCCGUAGCUGGUCUGAGAGGAUGAUCAGCCACACUGGAACUGAGACACGGUCCAGACUCCUACGGGAGGCAGCAGUGGGGAAUAUUGGACAAUGGGCGCAAGCCUGAUCCAGCCAUACCGCGUGGGUGAAGAAGGCCUUCGGGCUGUAAAGCCCUUUUGUUGGGAAAGAAAUCCAUCUGGUUAAUACCCGGGUGGGAUGACGGUACCCAAAGAAUAAGCACCGGCUAACUUCAUGCCAGCAGCCGCCGUAA